AUUGAACGCUGGCGGAAUGCUUUACACAUGCAAGUCGAACGGCAGCACGGACUUCGGUCUGGUGGCGAGUGGCGAACGGGUGAGUAAUGUAUCGGAUCGUGCCCAGUCGUGGGGGAUAACGUAGUGAAAAUUACGCUAAUACCGCAUACGAUCUAUGGAUGAAAGCGGGGGAUCGCAAGACCUCGCGCGAUUGGAGCGGCCGAUAUCAGAUUAGGUAGUUGGUGGGGUAAAGGCCCACCAAGCCAACGAUCUGUAGCUGGUCCGAGAGGACGACCAGCCACAAUGGAACUGAGACACGGUCCAGACUCCUACGGGAGGCAGCAGUGGGGAAUUUUGGACAAUGGGCGAAAGUCUGAUCCAGCCAUUCCGCGUGCAGGAUGAAGGCCCUCGGGUUGUAAACUGCUUUUGUACAGAACGAAAAGGUUUCUACUAAUACUAGGAGCUCAUGACGGUACUGUAAGAAUAAGCACCGGCUAACUACGUGCCAGCCGCCGCAGUAA
This 500-nucleotide ribosomal RNA is filed under the name uncultured bacterium. RNAcentral's name for it is "partial 16S ribosomal RNA". It matches the Rfam family "Bacterial small subunit ribosomal RNA", at positions 30 to 523 of the family's 1533-position model. The record is from RNAcentral.